GUCACUGAAUAGCAACUAUAGAAGCGAUCAUGUGAAAAUGAUCUUUUAAUUAAUUUCAGGCAGAACAUUUCUCUGUUUCAACAUGACUGCUUGGCACAGGACAUUAUGAAGCACUCAAAGAGAUCCAAGCUCAGGCUUGAAAUGUCCCCUGGGGCUGGAGCAUUGGCUGCAUCACAAUUUUUCGGAAGACGCAUCUUGUGUGUAAGAGCCUGGGAGCCUGCCUUCCCAGCCCAACUCUCCCUGUAGCAAGAUUUACCGGCGUUGGAGCAAGUCAGUGUUUCAACAGACAUCGACAAAAAGAAAGACCCCUGAAGUUUUAACCAGUGACGUGACCAUAUUGGAAACGUGGUCAGCUGUCGCACCGAGGCCCAGCUGACUUUGUGAAUGUCCGUCAAGACACCCAGAUGAGGAAGGCAAGGCUGGGAGAGGCGAAGCUUUCCAGAGAAGCGAUGAAGCUGUAAGCUGAAGAGUCAGCAUGGGAACAGAGCCUUCCGUACUCCAGCAAUGACCUUUGUCUGACUCCUUCGUUGGCAAGACAGAUCAUUUUCUUUCCGAAUACAUUUCACACUGUGGAUGGACUAUGUACACUGAGCACUCCCUGUUUCUCUGAAAGCACUGGAAAAGUGUGUAACAUAAGAAAGAUAAUUAUUUGGGGCA
Molecule: long non-coding RNA, 657 nt
Organism: Suricata suricatta (meerkat)
Lineage: Eukaryota; Metazoa; Chordata; Mammalia; Carnivora; Herpestidae
Exons: 4
Source: RefSeq, a predicted model, not a curated record